GGCGAAUUGAAUAAUCUCUAGGUACAAGAUGACACACGGUCAAACUGGAAAUAGAGAUCCGGCCAGGAUCCCCCACGUAAUUCGCAAACUCGUUUCUGGAGCAGACAGGUAAUCAGGGUCUAGGAAACACGUGUCCUUUUCUUUCACCAUUUGUUUAAAGGUAAGUUUUUCCCUCUCCAACCUCCAUAUCUAAGCCAGCCACCGGUUGUUCGGUUUCUGCUUGCAUCUCGUCAUUUCAUUUGGUUGUGAUCGUCUCACCUGUAAAUGUAUUGUUAGAGAGAAAAGUACAGAGCAAAAAAUGACCAGUAAAUUGCUGGAUGAAGUCCGUGGAUUCGAAAAGGGUUGCUUCUUCGACCUUGGCCACCCUCUCCUCAACCGCAUCGCCGAGAGCUUUGUCAAAGCCGCUGG
RNAcentral lists this unclassified non-coding RNA (408 nucleotides) under Hevea brasiliensis (rubber tree). The record is from RNAcentral. Lineage: Eukaryota; Viridiplantae; Streptophyta; Magnoliopsida; Malpighiales; Euphorbiaceae.